RNAcentral lists this ribosomal RNA (1017 nucleotides) under uncultured bacterium. RNAcentral describes it as "bacterial SSU rRNA". It matches the Rfam family "Bacterial small subunit ribosomal RNA", at positions 355 to 1375 of the family's 1533-position model. The record is from RNAcentral.
UGAGGAAUAUUGGUCAAUGGACGAGAGUCUGAACCAGCCAAGUAGCGUGAAGGAUGACUGCCCUAUGGGUUGUAAACUUUUUUUAUAUGGGAAUAAAGUAUUCCACGUGUGGGAUUUUGUAUGUACCAUAUGAAUAAGGAUCGGCUAACUCCGUGCCAGCAGCCGCGGUAAUACGGAGGAUCCGAGCGUUAUCCGGAUUUAUUGGGUUUAAAGGGAGCGUAGGUGGAUUGUUAAGUCAGUUGUGAAAGUUUGCGGCUCAACCGUAAAAUUGCAGUUGAAACUGGCAGUCUUGAGUACAGUAGAGGUGGGCGGAAUUCGUGGUGUAGCGGUGAAAUGCUUAGAUAUCACGAAGAACUCCGAUUGCGAAGGCAGCUCACUAGACUGCAACUGACACUGAUGCUCGAAAGUGUGGGUAUCAAACAGGAUUAGAUACCCUGGUAGUCCACACAGUAAACGAUGAAUACUCGCUGUUUGCGAUAUACAGUAAGCGGCCAAGCGAAAGCAUUAAGUAUUCCACCUGGGGAGUACGCCGGCAACGGUGAAACUCAAAGGAAUUGACGGGGGCCCGCACAAGCGGAGGAACAUGUGGUUUAAUUCGAUGAUACGCGAGGAACCUUACCCGGGCUUAAAUUGCAAAUGAAUAAUCUGGAAACAGGUUAGCCGCAAGGCAUUUGUGAAGGUGCUGCAUGGUUGUCGUCAGCUCGUGCCGUGAGGUGUCGGCUUAAGUGCCAUAACGAGCGCAACCCUUAUCUUUAGUUACUAACAGGUCAUGCUGAGGACUCUAGAGAGACUGCCGUCGUAAGAUGUGAGGAAGGUGGGGAUGACGUCAAAUCAGCACGGCCCUUACGUCCGGGGCUACACACGUGUUACAAUGGGGGGUACAGAAGGCAGCUACCUGGCGACAGGAUGCUAAUCCCAAAAACCUCUCUCAGUUCGGAUCGAAGUCUGCAACCCGACUUCGUGAAGCUGGAUUCGCUAGUAAUCGCGCAUCAGCCAUGGCGCGGUGAAUACGUUCCC